RNAcentral lists this ribosomal RNA (497 nucleotides) under uncultured bacterium. Its description in RNAcentral is "partial 16S ribosomal RNA". It matches the Rfam family "Bacterial small subunit ribosomal RNA", at positions 28 to 507 of the family's 1533-position model. The record is from RNAcentral.
GAUGAACGCUGGCGGCGUGCCUAGUACAUGCAAGUCGAGCGAACAGACGAGGAGCUUGCUCCUCUGACGUUAGCGGCGGACGGGUGAGUAACACGUGGAUAACCUACCUAUAAGACUGGGAUAACUUCGGGAAACCGGAGCUAAUACCGGAUAAUAUAUUGAACCGCAUGGUUCAAUAGUGAAAGACGGUUUUGCUGUCACUUAUAGAUGGAUCCGCGCCGCAUUAGCUAGUUGGUAAGGUAACGGCUUACCAAGGCAACGAUGCGUAGCCGACCUGAGAGGGUGAUCGGCCACACUGGAACUGAGACACGGUCCAGACUCCUACGGGAGGCAGCAGUAGGGAAUCUUCCGCAAUGGGCGAAAGCCUGACGGAGCAACGCCGCGUGAGUGAUGAAGGUCUUCGGAUCGUAAAACUCUGUUAUUAGGGAAGAACAAAUGUGUAAGUAACUAUGCACGUCUUGACGGUACCUAAUCAGAAAGCCACGGCUAACUACUUG